GGAGAGAUGGCCGAGUGGUUUAAGGCGCACGCUUGGAAAGCGUGUAAAGGGGCAACUCUUUCGCGGGUUCGAAUCCCGCUCUCUCCGCCA
RNAcentral lists this transfer RNA (90 nucleotides) under alpha proteobacterium HIMB114. Its description in RNAcentral is "tRNA-Ser". It matches the Rfam family "tRNA". From Rfam's summary of the family: Transfer RNA (tRNA) molecules are approximately 80 nucleotides in length. Their secondary structure includes four short double-helical elements and three loops (D, anti-codon, and T loops). The record is from RNAcentral. Lineage: Bacteria; Pseudomonadati; Pseudomonadota; Alphaproteobacteria; Candidatus Pelagibacterales; Candidatus Pelagibacteraceae. RNAcentral also lists the same sequence under 4 other names.